GGGACGGUGGCUCAGUGGUAGAGUGCUUGCCUUGCAUGCAUGAGGUCUUGGGUUCGAUUCCUCAGUACCA
Molecule: transfer RNA, 70 nt
Filed under: Dipodomys ordii (Ord's kangaroo rat)
Lineage: Eukaryota; Metazoa; Chordata; Mammalia; Rodentia; Heteromyidae
Rfam family: tRNA
About the family: Transfer RNA (tRNA) molecules are approximately 80 nucleotides in length.
Source: Rfam by way of RNAcentral